This is a long non-coding RNA of Oncorhynchus keta (chum salmon), 403 nucleotides long. RefSeq lists it as uncharacterized. NCBI's taxonomy places the organism in Eukaryota, Metazoa, Chordata, Actinopteri, Salmoniformes, Salmonidae. The transcript is spliced from 3 exons. The record is from RefSeq and is a predicted model, not a curated record.
CCACCAGGUCACUCCCCCCAGCUACAGGUACCACCACCACCAGAUCACUCCCCCCAGCUACAGGUCCCUCCACCAGGUCACUCCCCCAAGCUACAGGUACCACCACCAGGUCACUUCCCCCAGCUACAGGUACCACCACCAGGUCACUUCCCCCAGCUACAGGUACCACCACCACCAGGUCACUUCCCCCAGCUACAGGUACCACCACCAGCAGGUCACUUCCCCCAGCUACAGGUACCACCACCAGCAGGUCACUUCCCCCAGCUACAGGUACCACCAGCAGGUCACUUCCCCCAGCUACAGGUACCACCACCAGCUCACUCCUCCCAGCUACAGGUACCACCACCAGCAGGUCACUUCCCCCAGCUACAGGUACCACCAGCAGGUCACUUCCCCCAGCUAC